GACGAACGCUGGCGGCGUGCCUAAUACAUGCAAGUCGAGCGAUGUUUUUCUGGUGCUUGCACUAGAAAAACUUAGCGGCGAACGGGUGAGUAACACGUAAAGAACCUGCCUCAUAGACUGGGACAACUAUUGGAAACGAUAGCUAAUACCGGAUAACAGUAUUUCUCGCAUGAGAGAUAUUUAAAAGUUGGUUAUGCUAACACUAUGAGAUGGCUUUGCGGUGCAUUAGCUAGUUGGUGGGGUAAAGGCCCACCAAGGCGACGAUGCAUAGCCGACCUGAGAGGGUGAUCGGCCACACUGGGACUGAGACACGGCCCAGACUCCUACGGGAGGCAGCAGUAGGGAAUCUUCCGCAAUGGGCGAAAGCCUGACGGAGCAACGCCGCGUGAGUGAAGAAGGAUUUCGGUUCGUAAAGCUCUGUUGUUAGGGAAGAAUGGAUAUGUAGUAACUAUACAUGUAAGAGACGGUACCUAACCAGAAAGCCACGGCUAACUACGUG
Molecule: ribosomal RNA, 499 nt
Filed under: uncultured bacterium
Lineage: Bacteria
Description: partial 16S ribosomal RNA
Rfam family: Bacterial small subunit ribosomal RNA
Source: RNAcentral